UUUCAAGAUUUAAGGAACCUACUAGUAAAGCAUCAGGGUAUGGACGAAGAGGUUGUGGAGCCAGGCACUACAGAGGAGGGAGGGGCCGAUGCUUAGAGUUCCCCUGUCAGUUCGACUUUUGAUGAUAAUGGUUUAUGUUUUUUUUUUAUGUUUUACGAUGGGCCCGUUGGGAUGUUUUGUUGGAUUAACUUUAAGACAAUAUGUCUUUUGGGUAUGAUGUAAAUACAAUAGUGGGGUAAUGGUAAUGGUGUAACUUCUAUGGUGGGGUGAUAGUAACCCCAGAUACGAUGGUUUAACACCUUUUUGUAUGUGUUGCAGGGACUGAGUCCCCUCUUAUUUAGAACUAGUUAUGUUUGAUGAA
Molecule: long non-coding RNA, 361 nt
Organism: Juglans microcarpa x Juglans regia
Lineage: Eukaryota; Viridiplantae; Streptophyta; Magnoliopsida; Fagales; Juglandaceae
Exons: 2
Source: RefSeq, a predicted model, not a curated record